Non-coding RNA from Myodes glareolus (Bank vole), 346 nucleotides. Lineage: Eukaryota; Metazoa; Chordata; Mammalia; Rodentia; Cricetidae. The record is from RefSeq and is a predicted model, not a curated record.
ACACGCAUGUAUGCAUAGACACACCCUUGCGUUGUCCUGGCAGAGAAUUCAGUUUAUCUAAACUUCCUAAACCCUUUGCUUGCGAGAGAGAGGUGGGGGGGGGCACUGUAGUUGGCAGAGACACAGAGAUGAACAAAAGUCACAGCAGCUAGCUCAGCCUCCCUCCAUGUCUCCAGAGGAACUUACGACUUCCCUCUUGUACUCUGGCUGCCUCGCUGCUGAUUGUAAACAUCAUUUAAAAGAAAAUCUGAACCUGGGCCUUUUGACGUUCCCUGACCAGUUGCUCUGAUGCUGUGACCCUUUUCUACUCAGAAGGGAGUAAAGAAUGUCUGGAAGACUCUUUCAU